RNAcentral lists this ribosomal RNA (637 nucleotides) under uncultured bacterium. Its description in RNAcentral is "bacterial SSU rRNA". It matches the Rfam family "Bacterial small subunit ribosomal RNA", at positions 232 to 875 of the family's 1533-position model. The record is from RNAcentral.
CGCGGCCUAUCAGCUUGUUGGUGAGGUAGUGGCUUACCAAGGCGACGACGGGUAGCCGGCCUGAGAGGGCGACCGGCCACACUGGGACUGAGACACGGCCCAGACUCCUACGGGAGGCAGCAGUGGGGAAUAUUGCACAAUGGGCGCAAGCCUGAUGCAGCGACGCCGCGUGAGGGAUGACGGCCUUCGGGUUGUAAACCCCUUUCAGCAGGGGAGAAGCCUUUCGGGGUGACGGUACCUGCAGAAGAAGCACCGGCUAACUACGUGCCAGCAGCCGCGGUAAUACGUAGGGUGCGAGCGUUGUCCGGAAUUAUUGGGCGUAAAGAGCUUGUAGGCGGUUUGUCGCGUCUGCUGUGAAAAUCCGGGGCUCAACCCCGGACUUGCAGUGGGUACGGGCAGACUAGAGUGUGGUAGGGGAGACUGGAAUUCCUGGUGUAGCGGUGGAAUGCGCAGAUAUCAGGAGGAACACCGAUGGCGAAGGCAGGUCUCUGGGCCAUUACUGACGCUGAGAAGCGAAAGCAUGGGGAGCAAACAGGAUUAGAUACCCUGGUAGUCCAUGCCGUAAACGUUGGGAACUAGGUGUGGGUCUCAUUCCACGAGAUCCGUGCCGCAGCUAACGCAUUAAGUUCCCCGCCUG